CGCGGGCUGCCCGGCGCGAACGCCUGCGGGGAGGGCGGCCUCCUCGCCCGGCCCGGCCCUGCCCUGCCCCGGGGGCGGCGGCUCGGCGCAAGUCGGGCGGCCCUGGGGAGGCUGCGGGCGCGGCGUCUGGAGUUUUGAGGCAAAUCGAAGCGAGGGUCUUUCAGGCGAAGUGGCUAGACGUCCCAGCGGGGACAAUAGGUGUCAAGCGGCCGGCGGGGCGGGGCGGGGCGGGGCGGGGCGCCCCGGGGAAGGGCCGGCGGCCGGGGGUCCCUGGGGCGCGCGCGGGGCCGGGGCCAGAGGGCUGGCCUGUUAGGAGUCCUAAAGCUCCGGACUCGUGUGAAAACAGCCUUCAGCUACCUUGAGGUGACAUUUAUCCAAGAGGCCUGAGCGUUACGAAUUGGGCUUUCUUUUCCUUUUGUUUUAGAUUUACCUAAAGGUUUUAAGUGAAUGUUGAAUGAAAUACAAAACAGAAUAUUUUUUGCUCCGAGAGAAUUCUUCCCGCCUUGUCAUUAACCUAGGGGCGGGGUGGGUGUGGACAGUGAACAGAAAAUAAACCAAGCGCUGGACAGAAAUGUAUAAUCAGUGGAAAAUGCAGCGGAAUGUUGUGUGAAAGCAGUAAAUGACCGAUGUAUAAUUUGAACUCCAUAGAAAGGGGAUUUAGAAGAAGGGAUACCAAACCCACUGUUCCUGGGGAAUAAAGUGAGUGCUACUGAUCGGCAACAGUGUGUCCUGCGGAGCGGGAGGAGGCAGCCUCCGGCCGCCUCGUGUCCCCAUCAGCUGCCAAGUCCCUUAUCUAGUCGUUCAAGUAUUUCUUGAGGCUCUUACUAUGUGUUAGGAACUCUCUAGGGCCAGGGAUUGUGAACAAAUCAAAAACCUCUGUCUUCGUGGAGCUCACAUUCUAAAUGGGGCAAAGAUAAGAGACUACACGUCAGAUAGUGAAGUGGUGGAGAAGAAAACAGGAUGGUCAGGAAAAGCCUGACCUGAGCCAAGCCUGAAGGAAGUGAGGAAGGAAGGCCAAGCAGCUAUCUGGGAGGAAGAAUUUUCCAGGUGGAAGGAGCACCGAGCGCAAGGAUCUGAGAUGGGAGUGUGCUUGGCGGGUUCAAGGACCAGCAAGGAAGCCACAGUGGCGAGAGCAAAGGGUAGGGUGAGGUCCAGACAUGAAAGGGGGCCAGUCUUGUAAGGCCUCCGAGGCCAAUGGAAGAACUUUGGCUUCCGCUGAGUGAAAUGGGGAGUCACAGCACGCAUAGUUUAAAGCAGAGGAGGAGUAUGGUCAAUCUGCAUCUUAGAGAAAUCCUCUUGCUGCUCUAUAAGAAUUUACAGUAAGUGUGUAUUAGAGGUGAGGGGAAGGGUGGGGCAAGAGCAGAAGCCGCGAGCCCAGUUAGGAGGCUGUUGAAAUGUUCCAGCCCAGAGAUGGUGGUGGCCAAGGUCGGGGUGUUACCAUGAAGGGAGUGACAAGUGGUUGAGUGCUUCAUACACUGUGGUGGUAGAACCAAAAGGAUUUGCUUAUCAGUUGUGUGUUACGUGUGGGAGAGGUCAAAGCUGACCCAAGGUGGUUCUAGACGGAAGCCCCAGAGCUAUGCUGAGCACUGCACUGAACACCCGCUGAGCCGAGAGGCAGAGAGGAGGGCAUGCUCCUUUAGCUGCUUGCAGCUCUUAGUGCACUCAGCCUGCCCGCUGUCACUGUCGGAAUCUCAGGCGCCACGCUCUGCCCACUGCAUUUUAACAAGAUCCUCGGCUAAUUUGUAUACACGCUGAAGUUUGGGGGGAAAAAAAUCACUGCUUUAUGCCUUAGAACUUGACCAAUGUCUUUAAGAUCACACAUGAAAUACUCUACCAGACAAAUUUUCCGCAGACCUACAGCAUCAGAAGCCUCAGGGUGGAGUCCCGCACUCUGUUUUAACAUGUCCUCGGGGUGAGACUGAUGGGAGCUAAAGCGUGAGAACCAAUGACCUGGAGGCCCCUGAUGAUUCAGGUUUGAGCUGAAGAGGGCUUGUGGUAAGGCGUGAGGAGGAGAGGCCACUUCUGCGUUUCCUUGGCUCAUUGCACAGUAGUAGUUACCAAAGCAUGAAGACUCGUGUUCAGCUAAAUUAGGCUUUUCUUCAAGGAAAAAAGAAAGAUUGUUGAGAGGGAGCAGGAUAGAUGACAACACAGACAGCAGAUUCUCAGUUGGGGUCCAUCUCGCAGCCGUCUGUGUAUCCAGAUAGGCUGGGUUAUGCUGCAGUAACAGUCCCGAAAGCUCUGUGACUUCAAACAGGGAUCUGCAGACUACAGUCCUAGGGCCACGUGGCCCUCCCACUGUUUUUGUAAAUAAAGUUUUUUGGGACACAGCCACAUCCAUUCAUGUACAUAUUUUCUAUGGCCACUUUCCUGCCACAGCAGAGCAGAGUUGAGUAGUCGUGACAGAGACAGCAUGGUGUGCAAAACCUAAAAUACUAUCUCAUACUUUACAGAAGUAGUUUGCCAAUCCCUGGCUUAAAACAUCCAUCAUGGCUCAGCAGGAGGGCCCUACUCAGAGUAGUCAUUUGCUAGAUUCAGGCUGAUGGAGAAAGCAAGCUCAAGCGUUGAUGAUUAGCUUGCUGUAAGAAAAAAGAACUUGGGAGUAUCUCAAGUAGUAGUCAGUUAAAUACUCCAGACAGGUGGGUUUGCGUCACGUGCACCCACACCUCAUUGGCCAGACAGAGUCACAUGAUGCCAGGCAACCAAGAGAUGCUGUCCUAUCAGAUCCCUAGUAGGAAGCUAAGUGAACCAGAAACGUUUGGGGAACAUGCAUUGAAGCAUACAUAGCUGUGGUGCGCUCACUUCCUACAAUAUGUCAUCCCAUCCCAUUUCCGUGGUGUUGUGACUUUCUUGCAAUCGUUCAGGUCAGCACUUGCUCCAGGAAAACCAAUGAAUUUCAGGCAAAACAGUGUCUUUAGUCUGACUUCCUGCCCAGUCGAAUGCCAUGGUCCCAGCAAUCAAAAUUUGUCUAUUUCCUACCUGACAAAAGGGGACUGAAGCUAUAUUUAUGUGAAUUUUUAAUACUUUCCUGUCCUCUUUUUUUUUUUUUUACCUUUUUUUCUAAUCCAAAGCCAUGCAGUGGCUUGGGGUCAUUGUAUCACUGAAUAAAUAGGAAAAUUAAAGGUUUUUCCCAGAAAACCAGUGGGAGAGCAGAGUACAUCUAUAAAUGAAAAAUGCUUUCUCCAAAAACCUUGGUUUUAAGGUAUAGCCAAUAUUAAUAUGUUUUAAUAACAGCAAUCUCCCAAGACUUCUGACGUUCACUUGUUUAAUUCAUGAGACCACAGCACUCUGAAGUCUCCACAGGCGAGUGAAUGAAUAAUUGAACUACUUAUCCUGAUAAUUGUGGCAAAAUAGUUAAGCUGCUUCAACUUGAAUCACCCGAUAAACUAAUGUCAAGCAUGUUUCUAGCAAAAGAGGGGAACUUCCAUCUGAAUUACCUUAACUGCCUCUCUGCCAGGGUAACAGCGGGAAGCCCAGCCUAGCUGUGGACUUCACUGCUCACACAGCUAAGGCUCUUCUCUUCCGGUUGUUUUACUACAAGUCAGCAGCAGACAUUUGUAUCAUAAUUUUCCAUUACUGCCUUUUUAUGAUAAUUAAUCCCAUAAUUGUCUGUGUGUCCAUGAGCCAGCAUUAGACUCUGAGCUUUUAAAGGGAAGAAAUCAGUUGUUUGGAUUUCAUCUCUGUAUCCUCUGAAGUAGUAAUAUGCCUGGCACAAAUGUUUUGUCAAUAAAUAUUGCCUACUGUAUUAACCUAUCGGUCCAUGCUGCCCCUUUGCCCUGUUACAUUGUGGUCAUCAGCUGAAGUGGCAUUCUUUUCCACUUACGUUUUCUUAUGUCUGCCUUUUCUUAAUUGUAAUAUUACGCUUAGAAAUACAGCUUUAUAUUUUGUAGAGGUAGAAAAAGUCCAGAAUAGUUUUUCAGGUUUCACAAAUUACUGUUGUUUCUUAUUGAACACUCUUAGAAGCCAUGCACUGCUUUCAACAUAUAAGCAAACAUAACUUUGAGCACAGGCGUUAAAAUGCUCCAUAGUUACUUAUGUGAACUGUGCAUUCUCUUAACUUCGUGUUUCUAUUUCAGUGGUUCUCCACCUGUAGUGAUUUUGCACCACUGCCAGGACGUUUGGCAAUGUCUGGAGGUGUUCUUAAGUUGUCACAACUUGGCAGGGAGGUGCUCAGGCAUCUAGUGGGUGGAGGCCAAGGAUGCUUCCAAACAUCCUGCAAUGCACAGGACAGCACAGACUUAUCCAGGCCAAAACGCCAAUAAUGCUGAAGGUGGGAAACUGUGUUCUAUUUUAUGAGACCAAAAAGGUAUUCAUUUGAUUCAGCACCUUGCAAGUGACAGUAGUGAGAUGACACAGGCAAAAACACACACAAAAAAAGUGUCUUUAGAAAGAAAGUGUGGAAGGAUGUCACACUAAACUCUGCAUCUCGGCACUGAUACGCAUUCAUGGUCUUUUUCAGCCAAUAUAUACUAUAUAUAUUCAUUUCUCCCACGAAUACAUGCAACCCACUGUGAACAAUGGUCUUCUGAGAAAAAGAAUUUCCUUCAAAGUGACAACAGCUCCACAAGUUUUAGAAGGAAUAAAACUUUAUGUAUCUCAAAGUUACAUCCUGGGAGAAGCUAAGUACAGGGUAACCAGCUUAUUCAGGAUUGCUUCUACAGCUGGUCAGGUCUGUAUUAUUUCAGGAAUAACUUUCACACCUGACAGUGCCACUCCCCCACAUCAGGGGGUCACCCUUUAGGUGUUAAUAACAUUUAUCCUGAGAGUCUAAGAGCUUGGUUUAAAGAUCUCUUAAGCACUAACAAGCUCAAUUGAAGACGUGAAAAAUGCUACGGAAAGGUGUCGGUCCUGUCUUACUUAUUUUUUUUUUCUUGUAGAGAUUUCCAGUGAGUGUAGACUUUGCAGAAGGGAGAAGUGUGGAAGCCCCACCCCACCCUGUCUCAUCCUUUCUGGGGUGUUUCUCAGCGGGGCAAGGGCACCACCUUCAACAUCACCCGGGGCACUUGUGGAAUGAAGAUUCCCGGAUUCCACCCCAGACACUGCAUCUAUGUCCCAGGAUCUGAUACCUAGGAAUACUAUGUAUUUUAAAAAUCAAACUCCUUUUUGCACAUUCAAGUUUGUGAAUCUCUGCUCCACAGAAAGAGUCCACUUAUUUUCACAAAAAUAAGUACCAUAAAUGUUCAAACAAAAAUUCCUCUUUUCAUGGUAUUCUCUUAUCUCUCUCCCCAGGAAGUGCUGUGAGGAUGUCUUAAGUAGGGCGUGUUGACAAUUGCCAGAUAGAUGGAAAAGGACCGCAAACUCCAGUCGCUGAUCUAGGAAGGAGCAGUGGCAUUCCAAGAUGGGAGAGAAAAUGUUGAGAGAAAUUUGCUGAGGAAAGAAUCCAAGCAGAGUGGUGACUGGAAGGAGAGUAGCAGAGGAGAUGAUCGCAGAGGAUAUCGCACAGGGUAGUCACACUCCAUUAAGACGCUGCUUCCAGAGGAGACUUUUCUCUAGGCCCUUCUUGUCUAGACCGCGUGCCUCUGGCAGUCCUGUCCUGCUGCAAGACCCGUGUUCCUUGGCUUUCUUUGGAGUCAGAGCUGGAGAUGCUGCUUCUCCUGAAUGCGGUGCUAACAUCUACCUAAAGAAGAAAGAGGCCAGUUCUUUAGGACGGGGCAAGUUGGUUUGACGAGAGAAAGAGAAGAGGUGAUCAUGUGACAAGAAAUAGGAAAGUCUUACACCAGACAACUUUGAUGGAGGAAGAAGUGCACGACCACGACCACAGCGAGAGGGUGGGCCCCUGGAACCCGGAACGUCCUGCUUACUCCCACGGAGCUGGGCUCAGACUGUACGCAGGGCUCCUUAGAGGUCAUGCAGAUCGGGGAAAAUGGGCAACACUCAUUAAGUGUUUCGUGCCUAGAGUACCUGCUGCUGGACUCCUUUCAUCCCUGUGGAGCAGGCCCCUUCACCAGCUUCAUCUUACAGGUGAAAACAUCAAGGCUCAGGGAAGUUAAGCAACUUUUCCGAGAGCACCCAUCUAGUAAGUCCUCGAGCCGGGAUUCAAACUCUUGUCUCUUCAACCCUAGAGCUCACGCUCGUAACUAAUGGCGCAUACAACCGUUUUUACUCCACAACGCACGUCCAAACCUAACCAACACGUGAGAAACGCAGCCUGAGUCUCAGAAGCAAGAGCAUCAACAAAGAAGCUGCCUAAACAAGUGAAACCAAGCCUGCAGAACUGCAAGGCCACAUGUCUAACAGACGUGAUAAUGACUGUACACCCUCUCUAUUCCUUUCUUCACAAAGGGCUGACCCACCCAUGUGAAAACCUGCCGGGGACCUCAGCCUUCAGCUCUAGGAUUUGUUUCAGCAUUCCCCUUUCUGCCUGGUUAGGUCCCCGGGCCCUUGCUGUCAUCUUCUGAGUACGUUUUUCCUCCUUCUGAUUCCAUUUCUUAACUCCAGAUUCGGGCCCUCCACACUUCUCACUGUACCCAUUUCAACAUGCCCUUUGGGCUCUAGCCAGCAUUCCCUCUUGGAAAUGAUCUUAACACGACCUUGUGGGGCCACAGGGGAGAGGCUUGGCUUGGCUCCCUGCCUGGGCCUCAGGCUCUGCCACACAAGGAGACGCCCACUCUCAGGACAGCGGAAGAGGACACACAUUCACAUUCGUAUAAAGCUCAUUGUUUACAGAACAUUUGAAAAAUAUCCUGUGGUGUUUUUAGGAGAAGACAGAGCAGGUACUAUUUUCUCCAUUUUUUUUUAAAUGUCACAAACAUUUCAAGCAUACAAGAGAAAUACACAUAUAGAGACAUCCAUGAACACUGCCCAGACUUGACACAUUUACAUUUAUUUUUCCUUAAAGAAAUAAAAUGUUACAGAUAUGAUUGAAUAUCUUCCCAUCCCAUUUCCCCCCUCCUUCCCCAGAGAACCCACGAUCCUUAAAUUGAUCUGAAUCAUGGCAUCCAGGUUUUUAAAUUGUCUGUAUCUAUCUAUCUCUCUACCUGGAAUCUGCAAUGGAUACUAUUGUUCUGUGUUCCUAAAACUUUGACACAAUAUCUUACUAUAUGUAUCCUUUUGCAACUUGCUUUUUUUUUUCAAUUAGUCUUUUUUUUAAUUGAUUGAUUUUUUUUUUUCAGAUUCAGAUUUGUGUUUGUUUGUUUUCCCUUUGGAAUCCUAGUUGGGUUUUUUUGGCAGUAGCAUUGGUUUAUAACAUUAUAUAAAUUUCGGGUGUCCAUCAUUAUAUUUCAGUUUCUGUGUAGAUUGCAUCAUGUUCACCACCCAAAGACUAAUUACCAUCCAUCACCACACACAGGUGCCUAAUCACCCCUUUCGCCCUCCUGCCUCCCCGCUUCCCCUCUGGUAACCACCAGUCCAAUCCCUGUCUCUGGGUGUUUGCCUGCUGUUGUUUGCAACUUGCUUUUUCAGUGUUUUGUUUCUAAGAUUUAUCUUUGUUGAAACAUGUAUCUAAGUUCAUUUAUUUCACCUACUAGAGUGUCUCUUUUUGCUGUAUGCGUAUACACAUACAUAUGUUACUUAUCUAGUUUCCUACUGAAAGAAAUUUACAUAACUUUCUUUUUUGCACCGUUUUGAAAGAUACUGCAAUGACCAGUGUUGCACACUGUUCUUGUAGACAUGUGCUGGACUUUUUCUAGUGCAAAUUCCUGGAAGUAGAAUUGCUAGGUCAUAGGAUAUGUGCAGAACUACAAUUUUAGAAGACACUGCCAAUUGCUCUCCCAAGAGGUUGUACCAAUUUGCAUUUCCAUCAUCUGAGUUUGAGAAUUCCCAUUUCCUUUCAUCCUUGACAACUUUCUGCAUUGUCAGAUGUUUUGAUUUUUAUCAAUCUGUCCACUAAAAAAUAAUUUCACAUUGUUUUAUCAUGGGUAGAUUUUUAAAUUACUGAUUCAAUUUCUUUAUUGACUAUAAAGUCCACUGAAGUUUUCUAUUUCUUCUUGACUCAAUUUUGGUGAUUUAUAGUUUGCAAAAAAACCUGCUCAUUUCUUCCACAUUGCAAAUGUCUUGGCCUAAAGUUGAUUAUGAUAUUUUCUUACUAGUUUUAAAUUUAUUCUAAUUCUAUACCCCUUUUCCUUCCUGAUAUCAUUUAUGUCUUCUCUUUUUAUUUUAAUGGAUCCCGCUAGAGGAUUGUCUAGUAUAUUAAUCUUUUCAAAACACGAGUUUUGGUACUGUUGACCCUGUCUUCUUCCCUUAUUUUCUGUUGCGUUAAUUUCUGUACCUAUCCUUGGUCUUCUUUUUUCCCCUUUUUUGAGCACAAAUUCUUUGGUUCUUUUUGUACUUUCUUUAGUUGCAUGAUAAAUUAAUUUUCAAUCUUUUUUUCUAAUACAUGCAUUAAGGUCGUAAAUUUCUCUUCAAAAACUGCAUUAGCUGUACGACAGUUCUUUCGUUGUAAUUUUGUCCUAAAUAUUUAAUAAUUUUAUUGUGAUUUCUUAAUCAAUGUAUUUAUUUAUAAAAAUGUUUUAAUUUUUCUAACUAUAUUAGAGGUACAGUAUAACGGGGUGAUUGCUUACGUUUUUGCUAAAGGAUUCUUAAUUUCAUUGUAUUUUAGACAGAUAAUGUAGUUUGAAUGAUAUAAAUUAUUUUGUAUUUGUUGAGACUUCUCUGCAGCAUAGGCUGGGACCUGUGUUGGUAAAUGUUUCGUGUGUACUUGAAAAGAAUGUAUUAUAUUGAACUAUUAAGCACAGAAUUUCCUUUGCUUCUUUGUUUGUUUGUUUUUGGUGAGGCAGAUUGUCCCUAAGCUAACAUCUUAAGCACAAAGUUUUUUUGUUUCUGUUUUUUGUGUGUGUUUUUGAGGAAGAUCAGCCCUGAGCUAACAUCUGCUCUCAAUCCUUCUCUUUUUGCUGAGGAAGACUGGCCCUGAGCUAGCAUCUGUGCCCAUCUUCCUCCACUUUAUAUGUGGGACGCCUACCACAGCAUGGCUUGCCAAGCAGUGCCAUGUUCGCACCCAGGAUCCAAACCAGUGAAUCCCAGGCCACCGAAGUGGAACGUAUGAACUUAACCACUGUGACACUGGGCUGGCCCUUAAUAAGCACAAAGUUUUAUAUAAGUCAUUUGAUUAAAUUUUUUCACAUUCCAAGCAUUGUUAAUAAUUUUCUUUUGUCUUCUUUAUCAGUUUCUGAAAGCAGUACAUUAAAAUUUCCCAUCUAUAAUGGGGAAUUGUCAAUUUCUUUCUGUAAUUCUGUCCAUUUCUGCUAUAAGUAUUUUGAGGCCAUGUUAGUAGGUACAUAUAAGUCUGGAAAUGUUUAUAACUGUCUGUAAAUUACUCAUUUUAUCAUUCCAUAAACACCUUCUAGUGAUGCGUUUUAAAUUUUUGGAGUCCAUUUUAUGUGAUAAUAAUGUAGCCAUGUCAGAUUUCCUUCAGGUAGUUUCUGUCUGAGAGGUAGGUCAUUUCAGUGUAUUUAGUUAGAUGGUCUGUAUCCUUUUUAAAUGGUGUGUCUUGUAAACAGCAAAUAGUGCAUUGUUCUUCUUCUUUAAAAUCGGGAGGUCUCUGCCUUCCAGCUGGUGAACUGAACCCUUUUCCAUUUAUUGUUAUUAUUGAUGCCUGUGGGAUUGUUCCUACCCUCCUACUUUGGCUCUUCCUGCCCUGCUCGAUUAUCUCCCUUCGCUCAGUCCUGCCUUCCAUUGAGUCGACUGGGUUUUCUGUUUCCUCUGCUUUUCUCUUCUACUCAUUUGAAAGUUAUGUAUUCUAUUUUCAUUCUUAUGUCAGUUACUCAAUAAAAGGGAUAACUAUCUUUACAAAGUUUAAA
Molecule: long non-coding RNA, 9731 nt
Filed under: Equus asinus (donkey)
Lineage: Eukaryota; Metazoa; Chordata; Mammalia; Perissodactyla; Equidae
Description: lncRNA (ENSEASG00005037639.1)
Source: RNAcentral